CAGGAUUUAUUCUGGGAUUAAACAGGAGACAAGAUGAGAGAAGCUGAUCGAAGUGGCCAGACAUAGCUUUCUCCUCAGGUAGUAACAGGCAGUUAUUAAACGCAACUGCAACUCUAUCGUGCAAAGAGUAAACAUGCUGUUUGCUUCACUGUCGGGGGGUACUCUGUGACUACGGCUGGGAAUUGUCACAGCUGAGUUUAGCACUUCCUGCAAACUUUGGGGCCAGCUUGCAUAAUGCAAUGGCUAAAGAACAUGAUUCCAAUCAAACAGAACAUGUUCGCAGCUUGAAAAAGGACUCGGUCACAUAACAACUCAUACAUAAACCAUGAGGCUGCGGAACCAAAUGAAAUAAUAGUCACCAAGGGUUCCUGCACACCUGCCCCAGUCAGUCAGAGCCUGCACUCACUGAGUAUUGCCAGCACACGGCAACCAGCCCUGCCCUGAAAUCAAAUGGCAAAAAUAAACAUACGUACUGACCCAGUUAAAUCAAGAAACACGAGUGCACCUUUAAGCAGGCAGCAAUUCAGGUGGCCUCUCCAGGCCAGGCCUCCUCGGGGAUUUAGCUCUGUGUUCUAAGAGAAUUAACUGUUGUAGAUCCAGUGGCUUGAAAGCUGAGAUUGAGUUAGGUGUGAAUUCCACCCUCACUGAUGAGCUUUCACCGCACAUGCAUCUGUGAUUCUCUGAACAGAACACACCAAACUUGGAGCCCCUGACUCCUUCUAAAAAGAUAAUUCACUGCUCGGGCUGGCAAAGAGCUGUGUGAGGCCUGAAGACCAACUAGUGGGACCUGCCUUCAAACAUCUUAAUGUCUGCUGUGUGAGAAAAAUAAGUAGGCUAAUUAUGUUGGACUUGGAUGCCAUCUUGGUCUUCCUAUCUCUUCAUCACGUUUUCCCAGGUCACAAUCCAAUUGAGAAAUGAUUCUUUGUUGUCGUGUAGAAUAAGAGAAGACAA
Long non-coding RNA from Bubalus bubalis (water buffalo), 951 nucleotides. RefSeq lists it as uncharacterized. The record is from RefSeq and is a predicted model, not a curated record. NCBI's taxonomy places the organism in Eukaryota, Metazoa, Chordata, Mammalia, Artiodactyla, Bovidae. The transcript has 3 exons.